AUACGGAGGGUGCAAGCGUUAUUCGGAAUCACGGGGCGUAAAGGACGCGUAGGCGGGUUGGCAAGUCAGAUGUGAAAUCCUACAGCUUAACUGUAGAACUGCAUUUGAAACUGCUAACCUAGAGUAUGGGAGGGGGAGAUGGAAUUAGUGGUGUAGGGGUAAAAUCCGUAGAUAUCACUAGGAAUACCGAAAGCGAAGGCGAUCUCCUGGAACAUAACUGACGCUAAGGCGUGAAAGCGUGGGGAGCAAACAGGAUUAGAAACCCUAGUAGUCC
This 274-nucleotide ribosomal RNA is filed under the name uncultured bacterium. RNAcentral describes it as "partial 16S ribosomal RNA". It matches the Rfam family "Bacterial small subunit ribosomal RNA", at positions 523 to 796 of the family's 1533-position model. The record is from RNAcentral.